This 253-nucleotide long non-coding RNA is filed under the name Chinchilla lanigera (long-tailed chinchilla). RNAcentral's name for it is "lncRNA (ENSCLAG00000027365.1)". The record is from RNAcentral. Lineage: Eukaryota; Metazoa; Chordata; Mammalia; Rodentia; Chinchillidae.
CUUUGUUUAAAGUGCAAAAUUCACGAUGGAUAAGCUUUGGAAGAAUCUUCUACAGAUGAGAAGAGGGCUUCCUGGGAAUUCCUUAUCAAUGCAGUGCUGGACCAAUGGUGAACUGGUAACACUGGAGAGUGGAUAGCUGGACCACUGCAAGCCUCCUGCAGGAACCUACAUCACCACUGUCCUUCAGACCACUCAUGAGGGCUGGGGAGCGCUCACUUUCCCUCUUCACCUCUGCUCAGCACCAGUCUACAAC